ACACUGUUCAUGGGUUACCGCGGCUGCUGGCACGGAGUUAGCCGGUGCUUCUUCUGUGAGUGAUGUCCUUCCUGCCGGCUAUUAACCCGCAGGCCUUCUUCCUCACUGAAAGUGCUUUACAACCCGAAGGCCUUCUUCACACACGCGGCAUGGCUGGAUCAGGGUUGCCCCCAUUGUCCAAUAUUCCCCACUGCUGCCUCCCGUAGGAGUCUGGGCCGUGUCUCAGUCCCAGUGUGGCUGAUCAUCCUCUCAGACCAGCUACGGAUCGUCGCCUUGGUGAGCCGUUACCUCACCAACCAGCUAAUCCGACAUAGGCUCAUCCGAUAGCGCGAGGCCCGAAGGUCCCCCGNUUUCCCCCGUAGGGCGUAUGCGGUAUUAGCCUGGGUUUCCCCAGGUUAUCCCCACUACCGGGCAGAUUCCUAUGCAUUACUCACCCGUCCGCCGCUCGCCACCAGGGAGCAAGCUCCCCGUGCUGCCGCUCGACUUGCAUGUGUUAGGCCUGCCGCCAGCGU
RNAcentral lists this ribosomal RNA (512 nucleotides) under uncultured bacterium. RNAcentral's name for it is "partial 16S ribosomal RNA". The record is from RNAcentral.